GGAAUGCUUUUGUCAGUAGUCCACAUGCUCAUUUAGGAAAAAUACACAGAUGAUCAUCAUAACUCCUUCUCAAGGAUGACACACAAUUUCAUGACACAUUCCAUACUUCU
RNAcentral lists this small nuclear RNA (110 nucleotides) under Propithecus coquereli (Coquerel's sifaka). The record is from RNAcentral. Lineage: Eukaryota; Metazoa; Chordata; Mammalia; Primates; Indriidae.